UUUUGUAUUUUUCCACAGCUUUCUUGAACUGCAUCUAAUUACGAUUUUCACUAAUGAGGAAAUUAAUUCAUAUCGUUGCGGUUCAAUAAAGCUGUGGGAAGAUAUAGAUA
This 110-nucleotide microRNA precursor is filed under the name Capsicum annuum. RNAcentral's name for it is "MIR396 microRNA precursor family". It matches the Rfam family "MIR396 microRNA precursor family". The record is from Rfam by way of RNAcentral. Lineage: Eukaryota; Viridiplantae; Streptophyta; Magnoliopsida; Solanales; Solanaceae.